RNAcentral lists this ribosomal RNA (582 nucleotides) under Scinax cf. nasicus ABGD cluster 30. RNAcentral describes it as "partial large subunit ribosomal RNA". It matches the Rfam family "Bacterial large subunit ribosomal RNA", at positions 1808 to 2597 of the family's 2925-position model. Lineage: Eukaryota; Metazoa; Chordata; Amphibia; Anura; Hylidae. The record is from RNAcentral.
CAAAAACAUCGCCUCUUGAGUUAAAAAUAAGAGGUCCAGCCUGCCCAGUGACUAAUGUUCAACGGCCGCGGUAUCCUAACCGUGCGAAGGUAGCGUAAUCACUUGUUCUUUAAAUGUGGACUAGUAUGAACGGCAUCACGAGGGUUACACUGUCUCCUUUCUCUAAUCAGUGAAACUAAUCUCCCCGUGAAGAAGCGGGGAUAUGAUUAUAAGACGAGAAGACCCUAUGGAGCUUCAAAGUUCUCUUCAAACGCCAAAACUCUACCAAGUCAAAGACUCCUGCACAAAAUUACGCGCCAUGAAGACAACUUUUAGGUUGGGGUGACCAUGGAGUAUAAAACAACCUCCACGCUGAACAGGCCUCUAAACCUCGAGCAAAGGACCACAACCCUCCGCACUAAAAAAUUGACACACAUUGAUCCAAUGAAUUUUGAUCAACGAACCAAGUUACCCUAGGGAUAACAGCGCAAUCUACUUCAAGAGUUCCUAUCGACAAGUGGGUUUACGACCUCGAUGUUGGAUCAGGGUGUCCCAGUGGUGCAGCCGCUACUAAUGGUUCGUUUGUUCAACGAUUAAAACCCU